Molecule: ribosomal RNA, 253 nt
Filed under: uncultured bacterium
Lineage: Bacteria
Description: partial 16S ribosomal RNA
Rfam family: Bacterial small subunit ribosomal RNA
Source: RNAcentral
UACGGGGGGGGCUAGCGUUGUUCGGAAUUACUGGGCGUAAAGGGCGCGUAGGCGGCCUACUAAGUCGGACGUGAAAUCCCUCGGCUCAACCGGGGAACUGCGUCCGAUACUGGUGGGCUCGAAUCCGGGAGAGGGAUGUGGAAUUCCAGGUGUAGCGGUGAAAUGCGUAGAUAUCUGGAGGAACACCGGUGGCGAAGGCGGCAUCCUGGACCGGUAUUGACGCUGAGACGCGAAAGCGUGGGGAGCGAACAGG